This 826-nucleotide long non-coding RNA is filed under the name Nicotiana benthamiana. RNAcentral describes it as "long non-coding RNA (NBEN_LNC037071)". Lineage: Eukaryota; Viridiplantae; Streptophyta; Magnoliopsida; Solanales; Solanaceae. The record is from RNAcentral.
CAUCGUGGACCGGAAUUCCUGGUUACUGUCGCUUCACUAUCGCCUUGGAAGAUGGUGAUUUCGAGCGUGCAUUAACUUGCAUCGUUAAAUUUAGAGACAUAGUUGGUAAAUGAAAAACACUCUAGCCAAGAGUCUAGCACGCCUCUCUCCUUUUUGCUGUGUUUCACAAGGCUGUGAAAUAUAAGCUUCAUUUCCUGUGAUGAGCAAGAACACCUGUUUUGCUGCAACUUGGUCAUUCUCUAACGCAUUUGUAUUCAAUAAUCUUUUUGGUGUUUGAUUUGAAUUCCAUUGUUGGAAUUACAUUUGUUCCUGUACCAACCUUAUUGGGGUGUAGGGAAGAGGUAUAAGAAUAAAAAAGAUUUUCGGCCGAACUUGAUAAUUAGAAAUUGUACAGUUAGUUUAAAAUUAAUAAGUUGCAAUUUCAAUCCCGACGUUUUCAUUCGGAUGAUUCAGAUUAUCAUUUUGGAUUUAUCCGACAAUUAUAGAUGCUCUACCCCAAUUUGUUUUGUCCUUUACUAUUCAAAGUAGAAAAGUGCUCAUUGGAUUAGGCUCACCAUUGGAGAGGAUGCAGAUAAAAAAAUUAAUUUUAAAUCUAACGCUACAAAUUACCAUUAAGAAGAGAGAUUAAAACAAAUAAAAUCACUAUGCUUUCGUGAUAAAUUAUGAUUAAAUCAUAUAUUUCCACCGAUAAGAAAUUUGUAUCUUAAAUUGCCGUAAUAGAUUAUUUGCACGUCUGAUUUCUAAUAUUUGCUGAUAUCUUUAUUUAUACCGACUGAUUUUGCCUUUUUGACGAUCUAUAUUAAUGGUAGAACAAUCUACAACCAAA